CCUAGUUACUCAGUGAUUGGACAAUGUUUGUCAAAUAAAAACAAAAGUGCUACGGUAGCCAAAAUGAAAAUUUUUGCGAACUAAACAAGGCCUUUAUUGACAAAUUAAAGGGUUAGGAGAAUUCCUAUGAAUGGACGUUUUCCGUGAGUACAGAAUAAUGCUGAGUGAUUCAUGGACUGGACGGCUUCUAUCUUCCCUGUUCUAUUCAGCGACUAGAUAACUAACUGAGCUUGUCUGUCUCCACUUCACCCACCACCGUCGUCGUCGGUGAAACACGGCUUGAGUACGUACGGUAAUAAAGAUCUUGAACAGUCGCUUCAACCUACUCCUGUCAUUUUGUUUUGAACUGUCAUAGAAAUCGAGGAUAUGAUGAUCUUUUUGUGUGGUCUUUUCAAUGGAAUAUAUAUGCGAUUAACAACGGUCCUCUUGUCCAGUGUGGAUUGCUUCUAAAUCAGACAGCGAAAUUGGAAAUCAAUCUUCCAAGGCGGUAAAACCAUUCAUUAGCGGUGUAUUCCCUCUGUCCUGAAAAAAUAAAUUCCUAACAAAUUUAGGACAUAAUAUCAAAUAAGAUAAAAGACCAUGCUACCUCUGAUUAAACAGCAAAAACCUUAAUAGCUUUUUGGUUACUAGAAAUCUUAAUUGAAUAGUGUCGACCGAUCGAGUCCAGCAGGAGCAGGACCAUUAUAUUCUUGGCCGGCCGGCCAUUGACCGACCGAUCGAGUUAGCUAACUGGCAAACUGCGGGUGUGCAUUUACCAAAUCACCAGUUGGCCAGCCGAGUGGAUGGUAUUCAAGUGAAAAGGUCUCUAGCUAGUGGUUAAAGCAACUGGUAGUGAUCCUAAAGAGCUAAUCAUGUUUAUGUUCGAAUACUUUGUAGGAUCGAUAUACUCUAGGGGAUAGGCAAUCAGAGGGGGGCGAAUGAUUGCGUAAGCCAAAAUUAAAAUCUAAAGUUCACCCUAAACACAAAACCAAAGUAAGCCCUUUUUAAUUAAGACAGAACAUUGUGCUUUUAAUAGAAAUAAACUCGACCAAAAAUAUGCUCCAAUUGACCUCAAAAUUUAAUACAAUAAACUAUAUAAAAUAUGCAAAUGAACCCAACUGGAAUCAUGUUAAUCGAAGGUCUAGAACUCGAGAUAUAAAAUAAAAAUGUCACUGUGUGUGAUAAUGACGAGAACUGAUCCAGUUCUAUUUUUGAUUAUGCGACAUCAAUUAAAGCUUAUGCCAUGAGACUUUUCAGAUUACUAGCACAAUACCCUAGCAACAAAAUAAACAUAUGUAAACUUGCAAACAAGAUAUGAAUCUGAAACAAAAGGCUUGACAUGUAAAUCAAGAAGCUGAUAUGUAGAACGCGACUAACAUCACAUUGAUAUGAGAUAAUUGGACUUCAUUGCUCUCAUAAUAUGUUCACAAGAUGCAACUUACAAGCAUCCACAAGAGAACUCUACAAAAGUUCCCGAAGCACUUAAAACAACUACCGGCUAAUCCAGCAUGCGCUGCCUCUCUUUUCUAUGGGUUGCACUCGUGUGCCUCUGCAAUUCUCUCAUCAUACAGACAACGAUGUCCACCUUUUAUAGGCAGUCCUGCAUGCUGAUUCAAGCCUCAAAGUUACUACAACCGUUCACAUGGUCUGCACCAUGACCAAGCUCCACGCCACCAAGCCAAAAAUAGUUGCGCGAACCUCUCCUUGCCAAUUGCCACAUCCUGGUCAAAAUUUGAUGGCGCCACCAGCCAUCCAAGCUAGUCUUCCUUCUUUUUCUAAUCGUCACUUGACCAAACCAAGUUCACCAUGCAACAUGCAACUCAGUUCUCUAGCCCACCGAACAUCUCGCAUGACAUCCAUGACCGAUAGGACCUCAGUUCCUCCCUGAACUUAGUCCCGAAACCUCAGUUCCUCCUUGAACCUAGUUCCAGUCCGUCAUCGACCAUGUUCUGCCUCAAGCUAACACCUGCACAUGAACAAACAAGCGACAAGUACGAGCCCAAGUCCAAGACUUGACUCAAGUCAAUCCGCACAACACCUCACACGAGCAUGUCAUGCAACAAUUCCAAAUCACCUGCUAUCACAACCAUAUAUAGACAACACAUGCAUAUCAAAUUAUGCCAUAAUUCAAAUCACUUUGCAAUGCCAAUUUCAUAUCAAGCCAAUUUUUCAUUACAUGAUCUCACAAUCUCCCCCUUGAUGAAAACAUUGGCAACACCAUUUAAAUAAUGAACAUUGGCAUUUACAUCCACCAAAUUAUUUUUAAAUCAAUCGCAAAGUGAAAAAAUAAAAAUAAAAAGAUCAUAUAAAAAGAUCCAAAAAGAAGAAAUGAUUUGAAAUUAUCUCCCCCUUUCUUUUCUCUCAAAAAAAUCACUCAUGUGAACAUGCAAUGGAUAAAACUCUUUCUCCCCCUUUGACAAUGGAUUCAUCAAGAACAUAAAAGACAGCAAAAGAAGGCUGAACACGACACUAAAAAUGACAACUCCCCCUCAACAAAUGUUAUGAUAUGAGGAAAAUGCAAAGCUUCAAGAGUACAACAGUCAGAGUAAAAAGAUGCUCUAGUUGGUGUUGUCAUGUGUGUAGCAACAAGUACAAGCCAUAGCAAAUGCUCAAAUUGAUCAACUGAAAAAUAUGAUACUUAAGCAUUUUGAUUUAGUUUUAAGUAAUUCAAAGAGAUGUUCACCAAUGAUUGUAGCACAUAGCAAGUAUAACCAGGAGAUCAAACUAGUGCUAACACAUGCAUACAAAAGUGAACUACCCCAUAUAACAGUCAUACAUCAUGUCUCAAAGACUCACUUAAUACUUGUGGUUUUCAAAGUUUUAUCAGAGUUUGCAGCGGUUCACAAGUAUUAGUUAGAACAUGUGUAUGCGAGUGGUUAUCCAUACUGUCCGCCAAAAUAUAAUUUUUCUUUUCUUUUCAACCACGCCAAGUUCAUCCCUUAGUGCAAUGAGAAGCCGUCUCAUCACGAGUGGUUGUGGACUACACUACAAGGCUCAAGUUCAUCCAAGUGGGAAGCUGUCUUGAUACCUUGACGUGGGACAGUAAAGACCCAAC
Molecule: long non-coding RNA, 3034 nt
Filed under: Sorghum bicolor (sorghum)
Lineage: Eukaryota; Viridiplantae; Streptophyta; Magnoliopsida; Poales; Poaceae
Description: long non-coding RNA (SBIC_LNC003405)
Source: RNAcentral